RNAcentral lists this ribosomal RNA (433 nucleotides) under uncultured bacterium. RNAcentral describes it as "partial 16S ribosomal RNA". It matches the Rfam family "Bacterial small subunit ribosomal RNA", at positions 29 to 507 of the family's 1533-position model. The record is from RNAcentral.
AACGAACGCUGGCGGCGUGCCUAACACAUGCAAGUCGAACGAGACCUUCGGGUCUUGUGUCGCACGGGUGCGUAACGCGUGGGGACCUGCCCUUAGGUUAGGAAUCACUCCCCGAAAGGGGUGCUCAUGCCGGAUAGUCUCUUCGGGCCAACGAUUUCUCGCCUUUGGGUGGGCGCGGGUUGGAUUCGCUGGUUGGUAGGGUAAAAGCCUACCAAGACGACGAUGCAUAGCUGGUCGGAGAGGAUGAUCAGGCACACUUGGACUGAGACACGGCCCAGAAUCGUACGGGAGGGAGCAGUGGGGAAUAUUGGACGAGGGGCGAAAGCCUGACCCAGCAAUGCCGCGGAAGUGAUGAAGGCCGUAGGGUUGUAAAGCUGUUUUAGCCGAGAUGAUAAUGACAGUACCGGGUGAAGAAGCUCCGGCUAACUACGUG